Molecule: transfer RNA, 78 nt
Filed under: Ochrobactrum sp. LMG 5442
Lineage: Bacteria; Pseudomonadati; Pseudomonadota; Alphaproteobacteria; Hyphomicrobiales; Brucellaceae
Description: tRNA-Pro
Rfam family: tRNA
About the family: Transfer RNA (tRNA) molecules are approximately 80 nucleotides in length. Their secondary structure includes four short double-helical elements and three loops (D, anti-codon, and T loops).
Source: RNAcentral
CAGUGUGUAGCUUAGUCUGGCCUAAAGCCCCGGCCUUGGACGCCGGUAUCGCAGGUUCAAAUCCUGCCACGCUGACCA